UGGCUCUCGCAUCGAUGAAGAACGCAGCGAAAUGCGAUACGUAAUGUGAAUUGCAGAAUUCAGUGAAUCAUCGAAUCUUUGAACGCACCUUGCGCCCCUUGGCAUUCCGAGGGGCACACCCGUUUGAGUGUCGUGAAAUCUUCAAAAACCCUCUCUUUUGAGGAUUUUUGGACUUGGAGGUUCAAUGCUCGCUUUCGCCUUUUAGAAAGCGAGCUCCUCUCAAAUGAAUCAGUGGGGUCUGCUUUGCCGGUCCUUGACGUGAUAAGAUCUUUCUACGUUUUGGAUUCGACAUCGUCCCGCUCCCAAUCGUCCCACGGACAAAAGGAUGGUGCUCCGGUCGCGGUCGGACCCACCAAAAAAACCUUGACCUCAAAUCGGGUGAGACUACCCGCUGA
This 395-nucleotide unclassified non-coding RNA is filed under the name uncultured fungus. RNAcentral describes it as "partial contains 5.8S ribosomal RNA and internal transcribed spacer 2". The stretch from base 1 to 133 matches the Rfam family "5.8S ribosomal RNA", at positions 22 to 154 of the family's 154-position model. The record is from RNAcentral. Lineage: Eukaryota; Fungi.